Molecule: long non-coding RNA, 252 nt
Organism: Manduca sexta (tobacco hornworm)
Lineage: Eukaryota; Metazoa; Arthropoda; Insecta; Lepidoptera; Sphingidae
Exons: 2
Source: RefSeq, a predicted model, not a curated record
GGACGAAAACUGAUUAUCUCGAAGCCUUAUGAAUUAUUGACGGUAAUAAAUGAGUGACGAAUAUAAUACAAAGACGGAUCAUUUCUGUGCCGGAAUAAUGUGCGGGCGGUAGUGCCAUCAGAAAAAUGGUAUCGCCUUUUUUAAAACAGGCAUGGACAGUAUCAGCGGUGCUGGUCAACAUGGUGGCACAAGGGAUGCUGCUCAGCUACGCCACCUGCCUCCUGCCGGCGGUGCAAGCUCCUGACUCUCCUA